Zea mays is the source of this 100-nucleotide non-coding RNA. The record is from Rfam. Lineage: Eukaryota; Viridiplantae; Streptophyta; Magnoliopsida; Poales; Poaceae.
ACGUGCCGGUGAUGAUUCACGCAAUUGGUGAAUUCUGGAUGAAUGUUCUGGUGCACAGGCAUGGUGAUAUGCACUUCCAAAGCGUCCAUCUGAGGCACUC